AUUGAACGCUGGCGGCAUGCCUUACACAUGCAAGUCGAACGGUAACGCGGGGCAACCUGGCGACGAGUGGCGAACGGGUGAGUAAUACAUCGGAACGUGCCCAGUAGUGGGGGAUAGCCCGGCGAAAGCCGGAUUAAUACCGCAUACGACCUACGGGUGAAAGCGGGGGAUCGCAAGACCUCGCGCGAUUGGAGCGGCCGAUAUCAGAUUAGGUAGUUGGUGAGAUAAAGGCUCACCAAGCCGACGAUCUGUAGCUGGUCUGAGAGGACGACCAGCCACACUGGGACUGAGACACGGCCCAGACUCCUACGGGAGGCAGCAGUGGGGAAUUUUGGACAAUGGACGCAAGUCUGAUCCAGCCAUUCCGCGUGCAGGACGAAGGCCUUCGGGUUGUAGGCUGCUUUUGUACAGAACGAAAAGGUCUCUAUUAAUACUAGGGGCUCAUGACGGUACUGUAAGAAUAAGCCCCGGCUAACUUCGUGCCAGCAGCCGCGGUAA
This 498-nucleotide ribosomal RNA is filed under the name uncultured bacterium. Its description in RNAcentral is "partial 16S ribosomal RNA". It matches the Rfam family "Bacterial small subunit ribosomal RNA", at positions 30 to 523 of the family's 1533-position model. The record is from RNAcentral.